CAGAGGGUAGUGCAGAGGUUAGUACUCCUGCCUUUCACUUGCAGGACCUGGGUUCAAAUCCCACCUUCUGC
This 71-nucleotide transfer RNA is filed under the name Scleropages formosus (Asian bonytongue). It matches the Rfam family "tRNA". Rfam says of the family: Transfer RNA (tRNA) molecules are approximately 80 nucleotides in length. Their secondary structure includes four short double-helical elements and three loops (D, anti-codon, and T loops). Further hydrogen bonds mediate the characteristic L-shaped molecular structure. tRNAs have two regions of fundamental functional importance: the anti-codon, which is responsible for specific mRNA codon recognition, and the 3' end, to which the tRNAs corresponding amino acid is attached (by aminoacyl-tRNA synthetases). tRNAs cope with the degeneracy of the genetic code in two manners: having more than one tRNA (with a specific anti-codon) for a particular amino acid; and 'wobble' base-pairing, i.e. permitting non-standard base-pairing at the 3rd anti-codon position. The record is from Rfam by way of RNAcentral. Lineage: Eukaryota; Metazoa; Chordata; Actinopteri; Osteoglossiformes; Osteoglossidae.